UUGCGGGGUGGAUCAGUGGCGAACGGGUGAGUAACACGUGAGCAACCUGCCCUGGACUCUGGGAUAAGCGCUGGAAACGGCGUCUAAUACUGGAUAUGAGACGCAACCGCAUGGUUAGUGUUUGGAAAGAUUUUUCGGUCUGGGAUGGGCUCGCGGCCUAUCAGCUUGUUGGUGAGGUAAUGGCUCACCAAGGCGUCGACGGGUAGCCGGCCUGAGAGGGUGACCGGCCACACUGGGACUGAGACACGGCCCAGACUCCUACGGGAGGCAGCAGUGGGGAAUAUUGCACAAUGGGCGGAAGCCUGAUGCAGCAACGCCGCGUGAGGGAUGACGGCCUUCGGGUUGUAAACCUCUUUUAGCAAGGAAGAAGCGGAAGUGACGGUACUUGCAGAAAAAGCGCCGGCUAACUACGUGCCAGCAGCCGCGGUAAUACGUAGGGCGCAAGCGUUAUCCGGAAUUAUUGGGCGUAAAGAGCUCGUAGGCGGUUUGUCGCGUCUGCUGUGAAAUCCCGAGGCUCAACCUCGGGCCUGCAGUGGGUACGGGCAGACUAGAGUGCGGUAGGGGAGAUUGGAAUUCCUGGUGUAGCGGUGGAAUGCGCAGAUAUCAGGAGGAACACCGAUGGCGAAGGCAGAUCUCUGGGCCGUAACUGACGCUGAGGAGCGAAAGGGUGGGGAGCAAACAGGCU
This 685-nucleotide ribosomal RNA is filed under the name Microbacterium sp. RNAcentral's name for it is "bacterial SSU rRNA". It matches the Rfam family "Bacterial small subunit ribosomal RNA", at positions 80 to 778 of the family's 1533-position model. Lineage: Bacteria; Bacillati; Actinomycetota; Actinomycetes; Micrococcales; Microbacteriaceae. The record is from RNAcentral.